UACAGAGGUCUCAAGCGUUGUUCGGAUUCAUUGGGCGUAAAGGGUGCGUAGGCGGCGCGGUAAGUCGGGUGUGAAAUCUCGGAGCUUAACUCCGAAACUGCAUUCGAUACUGCCGUGCUUGAGGACUGGAGAGGAGACUGGAAUUUACGGUGUAGCGGUGAAAUGCGUAGAUAUCGGGAGGAACACCUGUGGCGAAAGCGGCUCACUGGACCACAACUGACGCUGAGGCGCGAAAGCCAGGGGAGCAAACGGG
RNAcentral lists this ribosomal RNA (253 nucleotides) under uncultured bacterium. RNAcentral describes it as "partial 16S ribosomal RNA". It matches the Rfam family "Bacterial small subunit ribosomal RNA", at positions 524 to 776 of the family's 1533-position model. The record is from RNAcentral.